Molecule: transfer RNA, 81 nt
Filed under: Streptomyces finlayi
Lineage: Bacteria; Bacillati; Actinomycetota; Actinomycetes; Kitasatosporales; Streptomycetaceae
Also listed under: 1 other name
Description: tRNA-Asn
Source: RNAcentral
GGCGGGAGCGGGGGGCGUUGUUGCCGCCCGUGCGGUUGUUGUUCGUACGGGUGCCGCCGCUGCUGGUGCGGUUUCCGCUGC